CUUGGACUUAGCUCCCAUCCUCCAUCACAGCACAGGAGGCUCGUUACAUUGUGCAGCGUUUGCGGAGCCUCCUGCUGAAGUGGAGGGUUUGAACCUGUAAUUGGUGCUGGCCCUACACAGGGUAGGGAGAGCUACAUGGUGUUGGAAACAGGAGGGCGAGGGGCUCGCUGCCUUUACUGGAGACAGUGGCUGGGAUGUCCUGCUCAGGGCAUCAUCCCCACCCUGCAGCAUCAGCAGUGCCUGCAGUGGUGCUUUACCAUGGAUCCAAUUCUUGUGUCCCUUCUGGGUGAUGGGUUGUGCUCUGCAGCAGCAGCACAAGGAAGGAAAGUGUGAUUGGUGAGAUGGGGCCACGGCUGCACGUUAAAGGCUCUGAUAGCAAUCACCGUGAGCAGAUGAGGAAGCGUUGCAGUAAGCUGCGCACUGAGCUCAGACCAUGCAGCCCCUCCAGUGUGCCCAGCUGCUCCUCCUGUCUGCCCUUCUCGCCCUCUGCUUGCACUUCGGGCACGCGGGGGAAAACAACACCGUGACAGAUGGGAUACAAGACCCACGGUGCGGCAGCCCGGCCUUCCUGCCCCUCGUUCUGGGGCUGGCUGCAGCCUUCCUCCUGCGGCUGUGCUGAGCUGGGCUCCGAGACCCCCUGCAGGCCGGCAUCCCCCUGCCACGGAGCUCCACCACCGGGCCCAGCCAGCUCCUUGUCCCCAUGUCCCUGCAGCCUCCAGGAAGACCAACUCCAAGCACAACCCGCGCUGCGAAGCUCUGAGAAAUAAAGUGCGGAGGCUCUGA
Long non-coding RNA from Coturnix japonica (Japanese quail), 783 nucleotides. RefSeq lists it as uncharacterized. Lineage: Eukaryota; Metazoa; Chordata; Aves; Galliformes; Phasianidae. The record is from RefSeq and is a predicted model, not a curated record.